This 3166-nucleotide long non-coding RNA is filed under the name Brassica napus (rape). Its description in RNAcentral is "long non-coding RNA (BNAP_LNC007267)". The record is from RNAcentral. Lineage: Eukaryota; Viridiplantae; Streptophyta; Magnoliopsida; Brassicales; Brassicaceae.
UUCUCUUUUAAUAAAGAAGAUGUGUCAUGUGUAUCAUCUAAACUAUUAAAACAGAAGUACAUUUUGUACUUGACCCAGACUUUUCCCAAAUAAUUACAAUUGAUUGCCACUGACCUUAUGCACAGUCGUUUUAUAAAAUGACUAAGCCAUCUAAUUAAAUUUGAGCCGCUUUAAAUAACUCAAAACAAAACCGGACGGAACUUAUUCUUGCGGGUUUCCAGACCAAAUAUGUCUCGGUUAAUCUGGGUCUGCACAAUUAAAACCAAUAGAUUAGAUAGAUACAAAAUUCAGUUGACUGCAUUAAAAAAAAAUUUAAAUAAUCAACCACAUACUUCCGAUUCAUUAUAUAUAUCAUGAUUAAGAAAGACUGUAAUUAUCAAAGAAUUGUUACUCAUCUUAGUAUCGUUUUCAUGUAUCUAUUGGUUUUUUGGUUUUGUAGCAUGAUGUAUGUUAAAAUGUAUCGAUCAAGCUAAGAUUUUUUUUUUUUUUUUUAACUUUCAUCUUUUUAUUAAUACAAAUUCGAAGAUACAUAGUCUUUAUGCAAGUAAUGUGUUACAAAUCUUGGAAUAUAAUCCUAAAGGUAUUAUCGUAUACCAAUAAUUUAGUACUUUCCUAAUCAAUAACAUUCCAUAAAUUGUAUUUUCCUAAUCAAUAACAUUCCAUAAAUUUCGUAAACCCAUAACUAACGCAAUGACAAUUAACUGCACUAAAUAAAACUGAUAAAUUCAUUUUUUUCCUAAACUCAAAAACCUUCCAUAAUUGUUCAGCAUUUCAACGCAGUCAUCAUAACGAAAAAGAUAUCAUUAAACUAACAAAAUCUGCACAUUUUAUUAUCUAACUUGCAAAUCACGUUUGGCUAAUCUUUAAAACGAAUAUUUCUGUUAGUAUGCUGAUUUAAUAUAUAAGAAAUGUUUAGUCACUAAUUCAAAACCGUAUAUAUUAUUUUUUCAAUUCUUUAGAAUCACAACUAACAAAAUCUUUUCUUAAAUUCUCCUAUUUAACAUACCCUUUCGAAAGGGAACUAUAUAUACCCCUACUCUAUUGCGUCAAGAGAAAAGCAUUGAACAUCCUCAACCUAAACAUGUCGUUAGCGACAACUUUUACUCUUCUCAAAAGUCAGACCUUUUAGUUUUAUGUAGAGUUCUUUUUCUGAUUAAGAGUUGUAUUUGUGUUUUCUUGUAUGUCUUAGAAAGACACAGAAGUUAAAUGAAUGACCAGUUUUUUGUGCAAGUAUCAGAUACCCACAUGUUUGUUCUGGUGGAAGAAUGCUUACUGGUUCGUAUGCUUCAGAAAGAUUGUUUUAAUUUUUUUAAACAACAUUUUUUCGUGGUUAUCAAACAAACAUUCGCUUAAAUAAGAUUCUUUUUCCUUUGUUUAGGACAAACAUAUUCAUUCUCACAAAGUAAUUUGAAUCUAUUUUAUUUUUUUUGUUAUAUAAGACUAUCAUUAACAUGUACCUAGAAAUGCAUCUCAGUCAAGUUGAAACCUUUUAUUUAUAGUUAAAGAAAGGUUCUUUCAAUCUUCUAACUGAUUCUAAAUCGUUCUACAUAGGUUUCACCAUAUGAAUUACUUAAGAUAAAUAAGUAACUACUAACCGUGUUAUGUUUCUAUUGUUCGCAAGGUUGUUGUCUUCAUUUGCAGGUGGAUAGCUGGAAGUACUUGGUUCUCAGAACGAUCCAGUAUCAUGCAAAACAUUAAAAGGUCUAAUAUCAUUAUAUGAUUUGUAUAAAAAGAAACAAAAUUCGUUUUUUUUUAACUAGCAGGCAAUCACACGACAUAUUAUGAAAGGUAUCAAUAUUUAACAACUACUUACCAUGUUUUUUUUUGUCCCUUCACUUUGACUUUUGUAGAACUGAUUCUCAUAUUUUUGUACUUCUCCCUUCCGUCUUGCUUUUUUGUAUAGAUCACUUCUGGCUACUCUUCCUCUCUUACUCCAGUAAGAGCAGUUUGUCGAUACCUCUAAAUAAGUCAUUUCUGAAAUCAAUAAGCUAUAAGAAAGUUGACCCUGACUUAGAAUAGUAUUCAUCUAAUACAACACUAUCUGAACUUACCUUGCAGUGUAGAUUCUGUGAUUCCUCAGAUCACGAUACUUGGGUGUUCUAGCAUUUAAACAGAGCUUCUGCAAUCAAGUCAUUCAUCUUCGCCAGAACUUCUAAAAAGUCAAUCAUCGAUUAUCCUUGACGAUUUGAAUUACCUAAUCAAUAUGUAUGAAACAAUUAGUACACAGAUCUGAAAACGAAAUCUCAAGCGCUUCAGAACAAAUUAUAAGACUAACGUUGAGAGAUCACAUGGAUCCACUUACGGGACAAUCUUUUUCGUUUCGUUAGGUGAGUCUUCGAUUGAGAUUAGGAGAUUGUUUAAGGUUGAUGAAUUGAGAUGAAGAAAUACAUCUCUGCCUCACCGACACAAAAAAAUAAAAGAGACACCGAGGGGAAGAUGAAUGGUUAGGUAACAUCGUGUUUCCCGGAUAAAGAAGAAGAAAUAGUUAGACUUCCAGAUGGGUUUAGUUUAAAGGCAAGGCCCAUUUAUGUACUUUGUAAAUUAGCUUAGCCAUUUAAUACUGAAGCUUAUGUUAAUAGGCUUAUUCUAAUGUAUAAUAUUCAUUUACUUAUAAAUCAUCUUAAUAAUAUGAUCUUAUAAUAAGUUAAUUGAGCUUCGGUGCAUUAGACUAUAAUAUAUAUCAAAAUGGAUUUAAAAUAAGAGCUUCACCAUUAUAACAAUUAAUAUAUAAUAUAUUCUAUAUAUGUGUUAGUAUAUUUUAUUUUUAAUUUAUAUAUUCCAAAUUUUUACAAAGUACAAAUACAUUCAUAUAAACAAACAACUAAAGAAAUGAAAUAUAUUAAUCAAAAAUAGCAACGUAUAAAUAUAUAAAAUAUUAUGUGUAGACAUGUCAUAAAACAGUUGUGUAAUACGAAAAUAUUAUAUAUCUAUAGUAUUUGAAUAUAUAUAAAUUCAAGAUUUUAUUUAUAAAAAUGACAUUCGCGCGAAUGCACGAAUCAAAGUUUAGUCUAUCUUAUUAAAAUAGAAGUAUUUUUAAGAAUUGUUUGGGAACAUUGAUAUCAAUUUAAAAAAAAGAAUAUAAUGUCGUUUGGAAAUAUAAAUAGCAUUAUGUUAAAAAAGGGCUUAUAUUAUUAAGAAAAAUUAGAAGUAUAUUAUAUUAUUAGAA